AAACUUAAGAGUUUGAUUCUGGCUCAGGAUGAACGCUGGCGGCGUGCUUAACACAUGCAAGUCGAAUGUAGCAAUACAUGGCGGACGGGUGAGUAACGCGUGAGCAAUCUGCCCAUAUCUGGGGGAUAACAGUUGGAAACGACUGAUAAUA
RNAcentral lists this ribosomal RNA (151 nucleotides) under Clostridia bacterium. RNAcentral describes it as "partial 16S ribosomal RNA". It matches the Rfam family "Bacterial small subunit ribosomal RNA", at positions 1 to 168 of the family's 1533-position model. Lineage: Bacteria; Bacillati; Bacillota; Clostridia. The record is from RNAcentral.